This 79-nucleotide unclassified non-coding RNA is filed under the name Pseudomonas koreensis. Lineage: Bacteria; Pseudomonadati; Pseudomonadota; Gammaproteobacteria; Pseudomonadales; Pseudomonadaceae. The record is from RNAcentral.
UGUAGGAGCUGCCGAAGGCUGCGAUCUUUUGAUUUGUUUUUUCAAGAUCAAAAGAUCGCAGCCUUCGGCAGCUCCUACA